UCCGUAGGUGAACCUGCGGAGGGAUCAUUACAGAGCUAACAACUCACCAAACCAUUGUGAACCCUACCUCACCGUUGCUUCGGCGGGAGGCCCCCGCGCCCCUAGCGAUAGGCGGCCGCGGGGCGCCCCUGGACCCCCUGCGGGCGCCCGCCGGAGGAAUCCCAAACCCUGUCAGCACGUGGCCUCUCUGAGUCUUUACUGAAUAAGUCAAAACUUUCAACAACGGAUCUCUUGGUUCUGGCAUCGAUGAAGAACGCAGCGAAAUGCGAUAAGUAAUGUGAAUUGCAGAAUUCAGUGAAUCAUCGAAUCUUUGAACGCACAUUGCGCCCGCCAGCAUUCUGGCGGGCAUGCCUGUCCGAGCGUCAUUUCAACCAUCAAGCCCCCGGCUUGUGUUGGGGAACUGCGGCUGCCCGCAGGCCCCGAAAUGCAGUGGCGGGCUCGCGGACACACCGAGCGUAGUAGCAUAGACCUCGCUCAGGGCGUGCCGCGGGUCCUGGCCGUAAAGCAGCCUUCUCUCAGCACUAGGUUGACCUCGGAUCAGGUAGGAGGACCCGCUGAACUUAAGCAUAUCAAUAAGCGGAGGAAAAGAAACCAACAGGGAUUGCCCUAGUAACGGCGAGUGAAGCGGCAACAGCUCAAAUUUGAAAUCUGGCUUCGGCCCGAAUUGUAAUUUGCAGAGGAAGCUUUAGGCGCGGCACCUUCUGAGUCCCCUGGAACGGGGCGCCGUAGAGGGUGAGAGCCCCGUAUAGUCGGAUGCCUAGCCUGUGUAAAGCUCCUUCGACGAGUCGAGUAGUUUGGGAAUGCUGCUCAAAAGGGAGGUAAAUUUCUUCUAAAGCUAAAUACCGGCCAGAGACCGAUAGCGCACAAGUAGAGUGAUCGAAAGAUGAAAAGCACUUUGAAAAGAGGGUCAAAUAGCACGUGAAAUUGUUGAAAGGGAAACGCUUGAAGU
This 949-nucleotide small RNA is filed under the name uncultured fungus. RNAcentral describes it as "eukaryotic LSU rRNA". The stretch from base 528 to 949 matches the Rfam family "Eukaryotic large subunit ribosomal RNA", at positions 1 to 429 of the family's 3401-position model. The record is from RNAcentral. Lineage: Eukaryota; Fungi.